GAUAAACGCUGGCGGCGUGCUUAACACAUGCAAGUCGAACGGAGUAUUUCUCCCGAGACCGAGGAAGCUUGCUUCCAAAGAAUCAUUUGAAAUACUUAGUGGCGGACGGGUGAGUAACGCGUGGGUAACCUGCCUCACACUGGGGGAUAGCAGUUGGAAACGACUGAUAAUACCGCAUAAGCGCACAAUACCGCAUGGUAUGGUGUGAAAAACUCCGGUGGUGUGAGAUGGACCCGCGUCUGAUUAGCCAGUUGGCGGGGUAACGGCCCACCAAAGCGACGAUCAGUAGCCGGCCUGAGAGGGUGUACGGCCACAUUGGGACUGAGACACGGCCCAAACUCCUACGGGAGGCAGCAGUGGGGAAUAUUGCACAAUGGGGGAAACCCUGAUGCAGCGACGCCGCGUGAGCGAUGAAGUAUUUCGGUAUGUAAAGCUCUAUCAGCAGGAAGAUAAUGACGUA
This 460-nucleotide ribosomal RNA is filed under the name bacterium LE2013. RNAcentral describes it as "bacterial SSU rRNA". It matches the Rfam family "Bacterial small subunit ribosomal RNA", at positions 28 to 458 of the family's 1533-position model. The record is from RNAcentral.